GACAGUGGAGAGACCUGCCCGCCCCCAGGGGCUCUUCGGAGCCUCGUCGAAAGGCAACCCAGGCCUCCUUGGAAUGUGGCUGAUCAGGCUCCUACAGACACCAACUGACUUGAGGGAGGUUGCAGGUAGCCGAAGAGCAAGAGUUUCAGCUUGAGCCUUCACACCAGAUGGAUUUGAAUCUUAAGCGACACCAAAGGACCUUCGCAGCUUUAGGAGGAGUCCCAGCACCGCCCCUGGAAUUUCGCCCUGCUGUCUCUGUGCACUGCGGGUUGGCUUAGCACAAAAGCCACCUGACUCCACCCACCGCUCUUGGCACGUGCGGGAGUCCCAGUCCCUAACCUAGUCCUGGCCCGCCGCCACGUCCCGAGGGGAGCGACCUCUAAUCCCCGGGGCUCCUCGGAAAACCAUUAGGCAGCGGGACCGCGCCCCGCGGUUCCCACCCGGCCAUUUGGGAGCCCGCUUCCGCCGCCCCCACUUCUGUCCCUCUCCAUCGUCGCCGGAUAUCUACCGCAGCGACUGUCUGCUCGAACCCGGGACCGCAAGGCUGGCCUCUAGCCUGCCGUGCCUGUCCGGCGAGGCCAGAAGCGUUGGGUCCACGCCUUGGCUCUCUGUCACUGGCUGCCCUUGCCCUGCCAGUUUUGUGCUAGACUCUUUAUUCGCCCCCAACCCCAACCCGCGUGGCCGGCCUGGAGGAAGUGUCCA
Molecule: long non-coding RNA, 702 nt
Filed under: Mus spretus (western wild mouse)
Lineage: Eukaryota; Metazoa; Chordata; Mammalia; Rodentia; Muridae
Description: lncRNA (ENSMSPG00010051308.1)
Source: RNAcentral